Passer domesticus (house sparrow) is the source of this 413-nucleotide long non-coding RNA. RefSeq lists it as uncharacterized. The record is from RefSeq and is a predicted model, not a curated record. The transcript has 3 exons. Lineage: Eukaryota; Metazoa; Chordata; Aves; Passeriformes; Passeridae.
UUUUAAAUAUUCAGUAAUUGUAGGUUCUUGUCUAAACCCAACCAAAUUUGGCACACUAAUAAAGUGAAAGGUCAUUUCUCACUGCUGCUUCUCUGAAGAGACAUUCCAGAUCUCAGCUCAACCAUACAAGGGCAGCCAUUUCUGCAGUCCCUGACAACCUCUCCUACAGAAAUAAAGUGGGGCCAGAGUCAAGCUGUACCUGCCAGGUCUGCUGAAAACUGCCUUGCUCUGCCAUGGAUUCAUAAGAAGGAGAACAAGCUUCUAACAAAGUGCAAUGUCACAGAUUGAGUCCUCAGUGAAAAACAUUGAGAAGGGAAGGAAAUGACAGUGUAUGGAGAAGAAGAAAAAUCACAAUUAUUUCCCUUAAAUUUUCUAUAAAAUGAAAACUUUCUUCUACAGUUCAAAACUGAGAA